Long non-coding RNA from Cygnus olor (mute swan), 1122 nucleotides. RefSeq lists it as uncharacterized. The transcript has 4 exons. Lineage: Eukaryota; Metazoa; Chordata; Aves; Anseriformes; Anatidae. The record is from RefSeq and is a predicted model, not a curated record.
CGUUACCUGCCCCCUUUUCUCUUUGUUUUUCAGAAAAGACAACUCCUGAACUGCCUAGAUUGGUGUUAGGAUAAAGAAUAUUUGCUUCUGAUCGUGUCACUGAUAUCAGCAACAUAGUUGUCAUUUAAAAAAAAAAAAAAAGUAUCCUGAAUCAGAGUUUUGCUCUGGAACUCUUUCUGUUGCAGUGUUGUCCUUUGAGAGAACGGUUGGUCCGAAAACACAGUGAAAACAUAAAGGAGGAGAAGGAGUGGUGGGGUCCCAAGGAAGCUGCUACCAACUCCAAAAAGUGAACUAUGUCCUUCUUCCCCUCAUCUUCUCCAGGAGUUUCCAUCAGAGCUUGGAAAAGAACAGCCUUGUUAGUCCUGCUGCCUAAAACAAGCAAUUCAGGGCUCUCCCCCCAUGUCGCACACACUCAGAAAUAUGUUUGCUCAGACUGGGCUCACAGAAACAUGCUGUGAACACCGUAAGAAUAUUCUUGUCCCUAUGAAUCUUUCACCAUAGACUGAACAGAACCAAGCCUUCAUAAAAGACAAGACUACUCACCAAGUCAUUUUCAGCAUUUCGCUUCUGUAAAGAGAAAAAAUGGGAAAAAAAAUCAUGACUAAGGACGCCUGCCAUUGCAAUCAUGAAUAAAAUAGUUUCAAAGAAGAUCCUGUCUGAAGAAAAUUAUUGAGAUUUUUCUCACAAUUUGGGGGCUCGUCUGGGAUCUUGUCGCCUACCAGAGAGUUCUUGCCACCACAGACAGGAAGGUACACUCCACUGAUUUUAGCGGUCCCGUCGGGGGUGAUGGGUUGUCUCGGUACGGCCGACAAAGGACCGAGACUGUUAAUCUGGAGAUAGGCUCUGCGAAGCACUGGGGAGAAGGGAGACCACCACAGACACACGACAGAUACAGCACAGACACAGUACAGGCACAGGGAUAACUGCUGAUAACCCGGACCAGGAAUUCCACAGUACUUGUACUGUAGUACCUGUAGUACUCAGCCAGUGAGGAAACGGGAGAAAUCAGGUGUUGGGUAAUAGGGAAUAUAAGGUUAUGAUAAACUUUUACUGUGUGCUCCUGCUUGCAGGAUGCCCGCCAUUGCAAUUGUGAAUAAAAUAGCUUCACUGAAGAUCCUGUCU